RNAcentral lists this long non-coding RNA (977 nucleotides) under Crocodylus porosus (Australian saltwater crocodile). RNAcentral describes it as "lncRNA (ENSCPRG00005009157.1)". Lineage: Eukaryota; Metazoa; Chordata; Crocodylia; Crocodylidae. The record is from RNAcentral.
CAAAAUUUCACAGAAAAAUCUUUUUCUUUGUUCUUUUCUCCAUCAUGAAAUUUGGUUUGGGUUCAUUUAAAGAAGAGCUCAUUUCUCCCCCCUCUUUGGUCCCAGACCUGACACAUUUGUCACACUUUGGUUCCCCGAGUGAAAGGAAUCCAGGCAAGACCCCUCUUUACAGAGGAUGGCUUCCUCUCGCAGCUAGGGUUGCCAACUCUGACUGAAGCUAUUCCGGGAAUUUUUCCCCCCCUUAAAAUAUCCCAUUAAAAUCUCCUGGAUUGCUUUCAGUAGUCACCGGGAGAUCGAUGCCGAUUCUGGUAGACUCCCGGCCAGUCUGGGAGGGUUGGCAGCCCUAGUCACAGCUGUACAUUUCUUUGCAGGAGUCAGCUGGCAUAUCAGGAUUUUGUAACAACUAAAAAGAGACAAUGUGGGAAGUAGGAAGAGGGAAAGGAGGAGAAAAGAACAGAGACUUUUGUGGUGAUACCUUACCCUGUGUUUGAUUCAUCUAAUGAACAAUGCAGACCAGCAUCGAUUCUCAACUGCCUUUCAAAUAAUCUGGUGUUACUCCAGACGUACAAUAGUGAAACUCAAAGCAGGAAUAGGUGGAGUUGGUCCUGAAGUCAAUCCUUAUUUCACGACAGCUUGCACAUUAAUUAAGAAGAACAAAUAUCUGUGUGAAAAGAGAAUCUGUGAAGAGUAUGACAUUUAGGACCGAUCUUCAUUACCAUGUUCUAUACUGUAUUAGUCCAAAAAUCUCUUUUGUGAUUUUGGUGCAAUAACUAAUGUGAGAGAAAAAUUUGCUCCCAAUGAGAUUGUUCCCAAUGAGACUUGUUACAUAGCAAAAUUAAAUAUGAGAAUAAGCACCUUUUUCAGACAAAAACAAACUGAGGAAACCUCAUGGCUUCCGAUUUUAAGUCUAGAAUGAUCAAUUAUUGAUCUGUAAAGACCUGGGAUAGAUUGGCCUGCAAUAAAGUGUUUGUCAUGUU